AUUGAACGCUGGCGGCAUGCUUUACACAUGCAAGUCGAACAGCAGCGCGGGCUUCGGCCUGGCGGCGAGUGGCGAACGGGUGGGUAAUACAUCGGAACGUGCCCAGUAGUGGGGGAUAGCUCGGCGAAAGCCGGAUUAAUACCGCAUACGACCUGAGGGUGAAAGCGGGGGAUCUUCGGACCUCGCGCUAUUGGAGCGGCCGAUGGCAGAUUAGCUAGUUGGUGGGGUAAAGGCCUACCAAGGCGACGAUCUGUAGCUGGUCUGAGAGGACGACCAGCCACACUGGGACUGAGACACGGCCCAGACUCCUACGGGAGGCAGCAGUGGGGAAUUUUGGACAAUGGGCGAAAGCCUGAUCCAGCAAUGCCGCGUGUGUGAUGAAGGCCUUCGGGUUGUAAAGCACUUUUGGCGGGAACGAAAAGGACUGUGCCAAUACCACGGUUCGAUGACGGUACCCGCAGAAUAAGCACCGGCUAACUACGUG
Molecule: ribosomal RNA, 484 nt
Filed under: uncultured bacterium
Lineage: Bacteria
Description: partial 16S ribosomal RNA
Rfam family: Bacterial small subunit ribosomal RNA
Source: RNAcentral